CCUACGGGAGGCAGCAGUAGGGAAUUUUCGUCAAUGGGCGCAAGCCUGAACGAGCAAUGCCGCGUGCACGAGGAAGGUCUUCGGAUCGUAAAGUUCUGUUGAAGGGGAAAAAGAGCGGAGAGAGGAAAUGGUCUCCGAUUGAUAUUACCCUUCGAGGAAGUCACGGCUAACUACGUGCCAGCAGCCGCGGUAAUACGUAGGUGGCGAGCGUUAUCCGGAAUGAUUGGGCGGAAAGGGUGCGUAGGCGGCCUGCUAAGUCUGGAGUGAAAGGUACCGGCUCAACCGGUAUAGGCUCUGGAAACUAGCGGGCUAGAGAGCAGGAGAGGGCGGUGGAACUCCAUGUGUAGCGGUAAAAUGCGUAGAUAUAUGGAAGAACACCAGUGGCGAAGGCGGCCGCCUGGCCUGUUACUGACGCUGAGGCACGAAAGCGUGGGGAGCAAAUAGGAUUAGAUACCCUAGUAGUC
This 464-nucleotide ribosomal RNA is filed under the name uncultured bacterium. RNAcentral describes it as "partial 16S ribosomal RNA". It matches the Rfam family "Bacterial small subunit ribosomal RNA", at positions 338 to 795 of the family's 1533-position model. The record is from RNAcentral.